This 200-nucleotide unclassified non-coding RNA is filed under the name Trichoderma sp. RNAcentral describes it as "partial internal transcribed spacer 2". Lineage: Eukaryota; Fungi; Ascomycota; Sordariomycetes; Hypocreales; Hypocreaceae. The record is from RNAcentral.
UUAAGUUCAGCGGGUACUCCUACCUGAUCCGAGGUCAACAUUCCAGAGGUUUGGGGUGUUUCACGGCCGUGGACGCGCCGCGCUCCCGGUGCGAGCAUGCAAACUACUGCGCAGGGGAGGCUGCGGCGAGACCGCCACUGCAUUUCGGGGCCGCCCCGGUGAGGGGGCCGAUCCCCAACGCCGACCCCCCGGAGGGGCUC